CUAAGACCAAACCAUGUAAUGCAAAUCAUGUCACAAAGAAGAUGGAUGACAUCAGAAAAAGGUCACUGCCAUAAAUUUGCCAGCAUAAAUACCCACACAUAGAGAAGUGACGACAUAUACUUCCAAACGAUAAGGUAUGACAAAUCAGCAGGUAGAAGCUGAAAGGUUAGCCAAUCUUUGAUUCUAACUACUAAGAUACAAAACAGGACAAAUGUCGCUCUAGACACUGCAUUAUCUUAAUAAAUUAACAAGAAAUAUUGUGGGUUUGCUAUAUAACACAGUAAAAUAAAUGAAUAGAAAACACAGGAUGUUCCUUUUUUCAUUUAUCCUUCUGAAAUUUCUCCACAUAAGCCUGUACAAGUUUGGUCAGCUUUGGCUUUGAAAAUGAAAGAUAUUGUUGAAUUCUUUCUUGUGUUUGAGGAAUAGUUCCCCCCUGCAUUGAACCGGUAACUUUGUCAACUACUUUCUUUACAACGUUUUUGUAAGCAUCCUUGGUCAUUUGACCUUCCUUCCAUUUGGGCUUCAGAAGCUCCUUAACGAACUCCACAAGUGCAAACUUAAAUGCACGAAUCCCCUUGACAUCCUUGCUUUGUUUGCCCUCAUCAGUCUUUCCAUCUCCAUCAAUGUUCUCCAAGACAUCAUUUUCUUGUGCAGUCUUGUCCUCCUCUACUUUCCUGCUUUCCUCAGUUACCACCCCAUUGUUUUCCUUGGUAACUAUGGAGUUUGCACCUGGUUCCAUCUCAUUUACCUGGUAACUCUUGCCAUCAGGUUCUUGCAAACUGUGGAACUUAUUAUAAUCACCAGCCUUUGGUGCACCAGCAACAGAUGGAGACAAACUUUUGGAUGACAUUUCUGGUUUCCCAUCCACAACCUUUUUCUCUAUAACAAAGUUUUGUGAAAAACCUGGUGGAUUAUAAUUGACAACAUUCUUCUCAGCAUCAAGGCUGUCACAUAUAGGAUCAUACUGCUUCCUCAGCCCUACAUUUUGAUUUGAUUCUGUAGUCACUGCAGAAUCUGGUUUAACAAGCUCCUCAGUGUUCACAAUGGAAGAUGUUUCUGUGUAAUUAUGGGCAUUGGAAUUAUGAACAGCAAAAAGAUGGGGCAGCUGCUUUCCAUUUGCAAGUAAGUGAGCUAGAGAGGCCGAGAUGUUGGUAAGCUGAGUAAGCUGUUCGCUGUUGCUUACCAGUUUCUGAGUCAUAGAAACUCCAGAAUUCAUUUGCGAUGCAUUUGCAUCCCCAUCAUUAUCUGGCUUGUUGAUUGUCUUUCCCUCCUGAAGCAGCAUCUGAUCUUGAGGAUUCACAUUACCUCCUCCUGAAGUUGGGAUUGUUACUUGACCUUGUCCAAUAACAUUUAAGCCUGAAAGAUGUAAAGCAUUUGAAUUCAUGCCAUUCUGAUCUAAGCUUUGCGCAGAUAUAAUAUUGGCAGAAAUACUACUAUGAGAACUGGCAGUUUUUCCAGUCACACUGUUAUCAUCGUGAGGCACAGCAUUUGCACCAACAUCCUUUAACUUGUAGUCCUGAGGUUUGGCAGAUGAUUCAUUUGUCAAUGAUGGCACAACUGCAGUGACAUCAUGUGCAUGAUCUGAAACUUCUCGAGUUAUACUGGGAUUGCAACUGGUUAAAGAAGCAAGCUUAUCAAAAUGGUUAGAAUGUCGAAAUUUAUAAUUCCACUCAGGAGACAUGUCCAUAUCUCCAAGCCAAUUCUCACCACCUGGCCUUUGUUCAGAAGCAACCAUGUUGUCACUAGCAUUUUCUGUAUUCCAUGUAAGAUCUGUUUCACUCUUGACCAUUUUAUGAUCAAUUGGUGCAUUGCCAAGUGUCUUAUCUUCCUCCAAACAAUGACCCCAUUUGUCACCAACAGCACGUGCAGUGCCCCUUUGAUCAGGGGUACCAAUUGUCACAUUUUUAUCCCCACUCAACUUUCCAGCAUCUAAAGCACUUGUAGCGCCCCAUUUUGGACCAUUCCACAAUUUCGCCACAUCAUCAGUGUUUUGGUCAAGUGAACGCCUACCAUCCCGUGACCUAUCAGGACUUACAUGGGCCAAAUCCUGAUGUGAAAACCUGCAAUAUUUUCCAUUCCGACAAUUACCCGCAGCAAAAAAUUUGCAAGGAACAUCAGAUGCUCUGUAGGUUUCACGGUCACUGCGUUUCUCCGGAGAUGCAUCUCUAUGCCUUCUGUCACUAUUUUUGUCCCUAGUUACAUCAUUAGAAGACUCCUUAACAGUCACAUUUGAGGUAACAUGAUGGGAAAACCUGCAGGAUGCACCCCUCCUACAGUUGCCUUUAAGAAAAUCAUUACAACAAUCAACAGAUCUUCCACUCACUGAGGGGUAGUCCCUGGAAUCAUGGGGAGUGGGAUAUUUUGAAGUUACAGUUCUCCUGUGUCUUUCCCAGCCAUCCACAUAACUCUGAUUACCUUGGUGAAGAAAUUGACAGUGACUACCUCUCCUGCAUCUCCCAACAGCAAAAUCUUUACAUAAUUGAGCUGAUACACCUGAUCUGCUUCUACUUCUCUCGUACAAUCCUGAUUCUCGCCCAAAGCCACGGACUGGACUUCUACUCCUGCUCCGGCUCUCGCUCCGGCUCCUACUUCUUCUUGAUCUUUUCCAUUCACUUUUAGGAGAGUUGCGUCGGUUUUGCUGCCUCCAUUCAUCAAGACCAGGAGACAUUCUUGUCCCAUAACUCUCAUCUCCAUCCCAUGUGGCCAUUGCUUUUAAACUUCUGUUACGCUCCUCAUCAAUGCUAUCAUCCCUAUGUGAGCCUCUUCUUCCAGACAAAGGUUCCAGAACAGGCCAUUUGGCGCGAGUACUACUUGCUCCUUCAGGAGACAGCCAGUCAUGCUGUGAUUCUUUGUCAUGAAAAGAUAAGCCUGCUUUCCCAGACCAUGCAUUUUCAUUUACAUUAUCAAAUGGGAUACGGGAUUCUUCUUUCAAAUCCCACUUAGAACUGCGUCUUCUGCCACUUCCACUCAUUUUACCAAAUGCAGCACUGCCUUCUCUCAGUCAAAAGGAGUACAAGCCACUUCAUUCUCUCCCAUGAAGAUGGUCUCCAUUUCAAAGGAUUCAGAUGAAGCACGAGGAACCUUUUAACGAAUUCAACUGUAAUGUGUAAAUUAUGUACAAGGAAAGUUGCCCAUCAAAUCUAAACACAGAACUAAGGAAGUCCCAGCCCUUUGAAUUUGGCGCAAAAAUCCCCAGAAGCAAAUAUAUUUAGCUGUGAUGUUAAAGAAAGCCCAUAUGAGGAAUUUCACUGAGAAGAAUAAAAUGAAAGCAUCACUGCUGAAGAAAAA
RNAcentral lists this unclassified non-coding RNA (3288 nucleotides) under Hevea brasiliensis (rubber tree). The record is from RNAcentral. Lineage: Eukaryota; Viridiplantae; Streptophyta; Magnoliopsida; Malpighiales; Euphorbiaceae.